Molecule: long non-coding RNA, 366 nt
Organism: Myotis lucifugus (little brown bat)
Lineage: Eukaryota; Metazoa; Chordata; Mammalia; Chiroptera; Vespertilionidae
Exons: 3
Source: RefSeq, a predicted model, not a curated record
GAACGGCCGUGGUCAGCAUCCCGGACUCAUCAAAGCUAAAUGACCGCUCGAUAAUAUUGCAUUUUGUGCUGCACGGAUGCUCUCGCACACCUGAGCGGACCGAGGCGCUCCGCUGCCUAAUUUCUCCUUUGUGCAACAAUCUGGCGUAAUCCAGGAGUUUAAACAUCCGAUGGGCCAACUGAUCCACAAUUUGGGGUCCCUGGUUUUUUUGGAGCAAACAAUUAUGUGCGAGGUGCCGGACAUACCAAGAUGAAAACGCAGAACCGAGUUGAGUUUCCAGCCCAGUAACCUCCAUCCAGGUACCACCAUGCCCAAUACCUGUGCAACUUCUACCACACUAAGGCAUUGAUUAAAAAGAGAAAAAUG